AGAUAGAAACCGACCUGGCUCACACCGGUUUAAACUCAGAUCAUGUAAAAUUUAAAAGGUCGAACAGACCUAAUAUACUAGCUUCUGCACCAGCAUUUAAUUUUAAUCCAACAUCGAGGUCGCAAUCUCUUUAUUUGAUAAGAACUCUAAAAAAAAUCACGCUGUUAUCCCUAAGGUAAUUUACUCUUUUAAUCUAUACAACAGGAUCAAUCUUUCAUAAAUCUAUGAAUCUAUAUAAAAAAAGUUAAUCUAAUUUUUUCAUCACCCCAAUGAAAUAUCUCACCCUAUCUAAAAUCAUUUAAAACCCUAACUUCAAAUAAAAUUCAAUAUAAAACUCUAUAGGGUCUUCUCGUCUUCUAUACAAAUUUAAGCUUUUUAACUUAAAAAUAAAAUUCUAAUAAAUUUUUAAAGAGACAGCUUUUUUUUCAUCAAACCCUUCAUACAAGCUUUCAAUUAAAAAACUAAUGAUUAUGCUACCUUUGCACGGUCAACAUACCGCGGCCAUUUAAUUAUUCAUAGAGCAGGUUAGACUUAAAAUCAAUAUCAAUAAGCC
This 553-nucleotide ribosomal RNA is filed under the name Trigonopterus sp. 31 MB-2011. Its description in RNAcentral is "partial 16S ribosomal RNA". The record is from RNAcentral. Lineage: Eukaryota; Metazoa; Arthropoda; Insecta; Coleoptera; Curculionidae.